RNAcentral lists this ribosomal RNA (509 nucleotides) under Bacillus sp. PSu2_9. Its description in RNAcentral is "bacterial SSU rRNA". It matches the Rfam family "Bacterial small subunit ribosomal RNA", at positions 60 to 553 of the family's 1533-position model. Lineage: Bacteria; Bacillati; Bacillota; Bacilli; Caryophanales; Bacillaceae. The record is from RNAcentral.
AGUCGAGCGAAUCAAGGGAGCUUGCUCCCUGAGAUUAGCGGCGGACGGGUGAGUAACACGUGGGUAACCUGCCUGUAAGAUUGGGAUAACUCCGGGAAACCGGAGCUAAUACCGGAUAACAUUUCGAACCGCAUGGUUCGGAAUUGAAAGGUGGCAUUUGCUACCACUUACAGAUGGACCCGCGGCGCAUUAGCUAGUUGGUGAGGUAACGGCUCACCAAGGCGACGAUGCGUAGCCGACCUGAGAGGGUGAUCGGCCACACUGGGACUGAGACACGGCCCAGACUCCUACGGGAGGCAGCAGUAGGGAAUCUUCCGCAAUGGACGAAAGUCUGACGGAGCAACGCCGCGUGAACGAUGAAGGCCUUCGGGUCGUAGAGUUCUGUUGUUAGGGAAGAACAAGUACCAGAGUAACUGCUGGUACCUUGACGGUACCUAACCAGAAAGCCACGGCUAACUACGUGCCAGCAGCCGCGGUAAUACGUAGGUGGCAAGCGUUGUCCGGAAUUA